Molecule: long non-coding RNA, 1021 nt
Filed under: Macaca mulatta (Rhesus monkey)
Lineage: Eukaryota; Metazoa; Chordata; Mammalia; Primates; Cercopithecidae
Description: lncRNA (ENSMMUG00000055467.1)
Source: RNAcentral
AUGACCUGGGAGCCCUCAGGCAUCCCGGGGCCUGGUCGGAGUGUCUUCGGGCCCUGGAGCUGGGCGGUGUCUGCAGUGCACCGCCGUGAGUUUCUCUCGGGUACAAUGUGCUGGUGUGCAGAGAGGAGGAAAGGAAAAAAAAAAAAAAACAAAAAAAAAAAAACACUACUCUUAAGUGGCACUGGCAUCUAUGAAGUGGCGGUGGUCUACACUGAGCGUGCCCUUGCCUGGAGGUGUAGGGGGCGGUUACUGCAGCCGAGGGGAGGGUACUGCGGCCAAGGGCAGGGCGGGAGGACAGUCAAGGCCGGCUGGCCGCGUGGGAGCCUUUCCUCUCCGGGUUCAGCGGCCGGCAUCACCAGCACUGCGGCUAAAGGGGCUGGUAGGCUCUCCUGCACCCCGCGUGCUCCUCCGCCUUCUCUGUGUCCCCCGGCUUUUCCAGGAGGAAGAUGGGGUGCCCAUCGUGAAUGGGGCGCGCUGGGCCGCCUGGCCGGGCGGUCACGUGUCCCCCCUCCCCCGCCACUGCGGCUGGAGUUCCAAUCAGAGCUCGCCAGGGGGCUCCUCCCGGGCAGGAACCACCCGGCUCGGCGGCGGAGGGUGGGCCGCCGUCACCUGACCGCCCGCCCCCGCCCCCCGCGAGUAAGGGGCGGUGGUAGCGUCUGCUCGGUUACAAAUGGCCCCUCCCGCCCGGCUCGCCCGCUCGCUUGGGCUCGGCGCGGACCCGCCUGGGCGUGCUCCUCCCGCCGGCUCCAGGCGUCCCACCGCCCUGCCCGGCGCCAGCCCGCGGUCCCAGCCACUCCUGAGGGUGCGCCGGGCACCCAGCGCGUAGGCUCACCCUUGGUGGUGGCCACGGAAGUCUGGACCGCCGAGGCGUGUGGCUUGUCUACCGGCAGGUGUUCUUUUGAUCACAAUGGAUAGUGACUCUUCUCUUCUGCCUGAGAGUGGUUCAAAAUAGUGAAGGAUGAGUUUGGACUUCUCAAUUUGUGUCCAGAACAAGGAUGGAGAGGCUCAGCAGCACCAACAG